This 487-nucleotide ribosomal RNA is filed under the name uncultured bacterium. RNAcentral describes it as "bacterial SSU rRNA". It matches the Rfam family "Bacterial small subunit ribosomal RNA", at positions 31 to 507 of the family's 1533-position model. The record is from RNAcentral.
GAACGCUGGCGGCAUGCCUAACACAUGCAAGUCGAACGGCAGCACAGCAGUAGCAAUACUGUGGGUGGCGAGUGGCGGACGGGUGAGGAAUACGUCGGAAUCUGCCCAGUCGUGGGGGAUAACUAGCCGAAAGGUUAGCUAAUACCGCAUACGACCGAGAGGUGAAAGCGGGGGACCGCAAGGCCUCGCGCGAUUGGAUGAGCCGACGUCGGAUUAGCUAGUUGGCGGGGUAAAGGCCCACCAAGGCGACGAUCCGUAGCUGGUCUGAGAGGAUGAUCAGCCACACUGGAACUGAGACACGGUCCAGACUCCUACGGGAGGCAGCAGUGGGGAAUAUUGGACAAUGGGCGCAAGCCUGAUCCAGCAAUGCCGCGUGUGUGAAGAAGGCCUUCGGGUUGUAAAGCACUUUUAUCAGGAACGAAAAGCGUUGGAUUAAUACUCUGACGUGCUGACGGUACCUGAGGAAUAAGCACCGGCUAACUUCGUG